Molecule: long non-coding RNA, 1009 nt
Organism: Arachis duranensis
Lineage: Eukaryota; Viridiplantae; Streptophyta; Magnoliopsida; Fabales; Fabaceae
Exons: 4
Source: RefSeq, a predicted model, not a curated record
CCUCCCCUAUCAGGAACCCUAACUCCUCGAGCUCUCUCUCAGUCUCUCUAGCGCAGUGUCUCAGCGCCGGACCUCCUCCUUCUUUUCCGCCAUCGACGUCGCCGAACAGCACCAUCGCGGCGGUGCGGUCCUUUCCUCUCCCUCUCCCUUCCUCGUAGGCUCGUAGCACUCCUCUCUGUCCCUCAUCCUCGACGGCUCCACACACCACCUCUCCAGUAGCCGUCUCCUCCACGAACCAACAGCCAUCGUCGUCCUCAACGAACCGCAGCAGAACGCACCAGACGCAGUCGAAGCCGCUGCAGUUCGUCGCCCUCUCUCGUUUGUUGUUGAAGCCGUGUCGGUGUCCAGUCUCUUCUUCUCUGUCAUUGAAGCAGUGUUGUCCUUCCAUCUCAGGAAAUGGGAAGGUGAAAGACGAAGAAUUUGUGGAAUUAGUGCACCAAAUAAAAAUUGUGGAAUUAAUUUGGUUGGGGAGAUUAUUAGUAAAUUUGAGAAGAAGGGAUUUUACUUGAAAGGUAACUUCUUUUGUUUUUGUUACUACUUAACAUACGAGCUAACAAUUCAGCUUAGAAACUCCACAAAUUGCUAGUAAUUACAAAGCCUUUCUUUAAUGGAUUGGUCUAAUACAUUAUCUCUAGUUCUAUUGUUGCCAUGGUUUGGGAGGGUAAAGGUGUUGUUGCAACUGGCCAAAAGUUGAUUGGAGCAACAAACCCCUUGGCAUCUGAGCCUAGAACUAUUCAUGGUGGUCUUGCAUCGAAUGUGCUUUCUAUAGAUCUUGCCAUUCAUGGUAGGUUUGCUUGAAGAAGUUUCAUUGUUUUUUGGUGUCGUUGGAGAGGACACCAAGACGUGGCUAUCUGUUGCUGGAAAUUUAUUUUUAUUUUUUGUUGUGUUGACUAUUGAACCUUUAAACUUCUUUAAUUGUCGUAUUUUAAUUUCUUUUGUUGUUGAAUUUCAUUGAAUCGAGACUUUUGUUAGUUAUGGUGUACAUGUAUUCUAUAAUUUCAAUGUUAUG